CGGAGUGGCGAACGGGUGAGUAACGCGUGGGUAACCUGCCUCAUACAGGGGGAUAACAGUUAGAAAUGACUGCUAAUACCGCAUAAGACCACAGCACCGCAUGGUGCAGGGGUAAAAACUCCGGUGGUAUGAGAUGGACCCGCGUCUGAUUAGGUAGUUGGUGGGGUAACGGCCUACCAAGCCGACGAUCAGUAGCCGACCUGAGAGGGUGACCGGCCACAUUGGGACUGAGACACGGCCCAA
RNAcentral lists this ribosomal RNA (243 nucleotides) under uncultured bacterium. RNAcentral describes it as "partial 16S ribosomal RNA". It matches the Rfam family "Bacterial small subunit ribosomal RNA", at positions 91 to 334 of the family's 1533-position model. The record is from RNAcentral.